This 253-nucleotide ribosomal RNA is filed under the name uncultured bacterium. RNAcentral describes it as "partial 16S ribosomal RNA". It matches the Rfam family "Bacterial small subunit ribosomal RNA", at positions 524 to 776 of the family's 1533-position model. The record is from RNAcentral.
UACAGAGGUGGCAAGCGUUGUUCGGAAUUACUGGGCGUAAAGGGCGCGUAGGCGGCCUUAUAAGUCUCGUGUGAAAGCCCUCGGCUUAACUGAGGAUCUGCACGGGAUACUGUAAGGCUCGAGUUCGGGAGAGGAAAGCGGAAUUCCGGGUGUAGCGGUGAAAUGCGUAGAUAUCCGGAGGAACACCAGUGGCGAAGGCGGCUUUCUGGACCGACACUGACGCUGAUGCGCGAAAGCUAGGGGAGCAAACGGG